This 33170-nucleotide long non-coding RNA is filed under the name Durio zibethinus. RNAcentral describes it as "long non-coding RNA (DZIB_LNC000047)". The record is from RNAcentral. Lineage: Eukaryota; Viridiplantae; Streptophyta; Magnoliopsida; Malvales; Malvaceae.
UCAAGCAUACGAAGUUCAUUCCCAGUCUAAGAUCAAACUGGACUGAGGGUUGUGGCAACAGGAUCGGUAGCACGCUAGGGGGAUCGGGUCGAUUCCUGGCUUGCGCAUUCUACCUCUCCGACCGACUGAGUGCUCGAAUGCCCGUUUCAUGGGUUGGCUUAGGCAUAGGUAGUUCAUUCCAUGUCUAAGCCCUAGUCGGACCGAGGGUUGUGGCAGUGGGAUCGGUAGCACGCAGAGGGGGAUCGAACCGAUCCCCAGCUUGCGCAUUAUGCCUCUCUGGCCAGCUCAGCGCCCGAACGCUCAUUUCAUGGGUUGACUUAGGCAUACGGAGUUCAUUCCCAUUCUAAGAUCGGACCGGACCGAAGGUUGCGGCAGCAGGAUCGACAGCACGCAAGGGGGGACCAGAUCGGUCCUCGGUUUACGCAUUCUGCCUCUCCAGUAGGCUGAGCAUCCGUACGCUCAUUUCGUGGGUUGGCUUAGGCAUACAGAGUUCAUUCCAUGUCUAAGCAUACGGAGUUCAUUCCUAGUCUAAGAUCGGACCAGACCGAGGGUUACGGCAGCAGGACCAAUAGCAGGAUCGACAGCACGCAGGGGGCGACUGGGCCGAUCCCCGGCAUGCGCAUUCUGCCUCUCCGGUCAGCCUCUGCGGUUGGUUGAGCGCCCGCACGCUCAUUUCAUGGGUUGACUUAGGCAUACGGAGUUCAUCCCCAGUCUAAGCACACGGAGUUCAUUCCUAGUCUAAGAUCAGACUGGAUCGAGGGUUGCGACAGCAGGAUCGACAGGACACAGGAGGGAGGGGGUUGAUCCUCGACUUGCGCAUUCUGCCUCUCUGGCUAGCUGAGCGCCCGGACGUCCGUUUCUUGGGUUGGCUUAGCCAUAGCGAGUUCCAUCCAUGUCUAAGUCCCAAUCGGACCGAGGGUUGCGGCAGCGGGACUGACAGCACACAGAAGGGGACUAAGCCAAUCCCCGACUUGUGCUUCUACCUCUCCAGUCGGCUGAGUGCCCGCAAGCUCGUUUCGUGGGUGGGCUUAGGCAUAUGGAGUUCAUUCCAUGUCUAAGCGUAUGAAGUUCAUUCCCAGUCUAAGAGUUUGAGCCACGGUGUCACAUUUUUUUCGUCCGAGGCACCAUCACUGGAGCAUCAUCGGAGUAUCACCCGAGAGCCUAAUCGACGGCAUUUGGGGUUCCGACGAUUGGGGGGCCCGAAGGGGGUGUGCGCACAUGAUGUGUGAUGGGUGCUGGUACUUGGCCCUUAUAUUGGCCCCCUAUCCCUCAUCAAACCUUGAGAACUCACACCCUUUUAAAAAGUAUUUGAGAUUCUAUAGGUUUGCUACCAGUAGCCAUUACAGUGUUUGAAAUGGGGACACUUUUUUCAAACGGUCACAAAAUCUUCUCCACUCCGAGUUUCUUGCUGAAUUAUUUUAUGCAUGCCAACAAAAAUACAAGGAUCACCUCUACCAAAUUUGGGGACAAAACUCUUUCUAAAAAAAUUUUAAAAAAUCCUAAACCGUAAAAAGUUUCAAAAAUCAUGAAAAAUAAAAAACGGGUCAUCUUGCCACAAAACUUCACAUGAAGGCUUAGGGGACCAUUGUAUGAAUUUAGAUGCCAUAAAAAUGGCAUUGGCACGGCAGAAAUAUGAAGAUGUGCUUGAACCCACCUACCACCAGUUCGAUCCCCGGCUUGCGCAUCCUGCCUCUCUGGUCGGCUAAACGUCCGCACGCUCAUUUCAUGGGUUGGCUUAGGCAUACGGAGUUCAUCCCCAGUCUAAGCAAAUAGAGUUCAUUCCUAUUCUAAGAUCAGACCGGAGCGAGGGUUAUGGUAGUAGGAUCGACAGCACGCAAGGGGGACCGAGCCAAACCAUGGCUUGCAUAUUCUGCCUCUCCGAUCGGCUGAGCGCCCACAUGCUCCUAUCGUGGGUUGGCUUAGGCAUAGGGAGUUCAUUCCAUGUCUACACCCCAGCUAGACCGAGGGCUGUGGCAGCGAGACUGGCAUCACGCAGAGGGGGAUCGAGCUGAUCCCCGGCUUGCGCAUUAUGCCUCUCCGGCCGGCUCAGCACCCGCACACUCAUUUUGUGGGUUGACUUAGGCAUACGGAGUUCAUUCCAAGUCUAAGAUUGAAUUUAACUGAGGGUUACGGCAGCAGGAUCGACAGCACACAGGUGGGGACCAGGCUAAUCCCUGGCUUGCUCAUUCUGCCUCUCCGACCGGCUAAGCACCCGUACGUUCAAUUCGUGGCCUGGCUUAGGCAUACGGAGUUCAUUCCAUGUUUAAGCAUACGGAGUUCAUUCCCAGUCUAAGAUCAGAUCGUACCGAGGGUUGCGAGAGCAGGACCAGCCGUAGGAUAGGCAGUACGCAGGGGGGACCGGGCCGAUCCCCAGCUUGCGCAUCUGCCUUUCCGACCAGCUGAGCGCCUGCACGCUCGUUUUGGGGUUGACUUAGGCAUACGGAGUUCAUCCCUAGUCUAAGCAUACGGAGUUCAUUCCCAGUCUAAGAUCAGACUGGAUCGAGAGUUGCGGCAACAGGAUUGGCAGCACGCAGGGGGGCCAGGCCGAUCCCCGACUUACGUAUUCUGCCUUUCCGACCGACUGAGCACCCGCACGCCCAUUUCGUGGGUUGGCUUAGGCAUAGGGAGUUCAUUACAUGUCUAAGCCCCAGUCGGAUCGAGGGUUGUGGUAUCAGGAUCGGUAGCACGUAGAGGGGGACCGAGCUGAUCCCCGACUUGUGCAUUCUACCUCUCUGACCGGUUGAGUGCCCGCACGCUCGUUUCGUGGGUUGGCUUAGGCAUACGGAGUUCAUUCCAUGUCUAAGCAUACAGAGUUCAUUCCAGUCUAAGAGUUUGAGCCAUGGUGCACAUGCUGAUUUCGGGCCUGUACUGGUGCCAUAUUUUUUUCACACGAGGCACCAUCGUUGGAGCAUCGCCGGAAAGCCUAACCGGUGGUAUUAGGGGUUUCGGUGAUUUGGGGGGGUCGAGGGGUGUGCGUACAUGAUGUGCGAUGGGUGCUGGUAGUUGGCCCUUAUAUUGGCCCCCUAUCCCUCAUCAAACCUCGAGAACCCACACCCCUUAAAGUGCGUUUGAGAUUUUAUAGGUUUGCUGCCAGUAGCCAUUAAAGUGUUUGAAAUGAGGACAUUUUUUUCAAACUAUCACAAAAUCUUUUCCACUUCGAGUUUUUAGCUGAAUUGUUUUGGGCAUGCCAAAAAAAAUACAAGGAUCACCUCUACCAAAUUUGGGGACAAAAAUCUUUCUAAAAAAAUUUAAAAAAAUCCCGAACCAUAAAAAGUUUUAAAAAUCGUGAAAAAUAGAAAACAGGUCGUCUUGCCACGAAACUUCACAUGAAGGCUUAGGGGACCAUUGUAUGAAUUUACAAGCCAUAAAAAUGGCAUUGGCAUGGCAGAAAUAUAAAGAUGUGCUUGAACCCACCUACCACCCGUUCGAUCCCCGACUUGCGCGUCCUGCCUCUCUGGUCGGCUGAGCGCCCGCACGCUCGUUUAGUGAGUUGACUUAGGCAUACGGAGUUCAUCCCCAGUCUAAGCAUAUGGAGUUCAUUCCCAGUCUAAGAUUGGACCGGACCAAGGGUUGCAGCAGCAGGAUCGACAACACCCAGGGGGGAUCGGACCGAUCCCUGGCUUACGCAUUCUGCCUCUCCGGCUGACUGACCGCCCGCACGCCUGUUUCGUGGGUUGGCUUAGGCAUAGGGAGUUAAUUCAAUGUCUAAGCCCCAGCCGGAUCGAGGGUUGUGGCAGCGAGACCGGUAGCACGCAGAGGGGGACCAGACUGAUCCUCGGUUUCCGUAUUAUGCCUCUCGGGCUUGCUCAAUGCCCACACGCUCGUUUCAUGGGUUGACUUUGGCAUACGGAGUUCAUUCCCAAUCUAAGAUCAGACUGGACCGAGGGUUGUGGCAGCAGGAUCGACAGCACGUAAGGGGGAUCGGGUCGAUCCUCGACUUGCACAUUCUGCCUCUCCGACCGACUGAGCACCUGCAUGCUCGUUUCGUGGGUUGGCUUAGGCAUACGGAGUUCAUUCCAUGUCUAAGCAUAUGGAGUUCAUUCCCAGUCUAAGAUCAGACCGGACCGAGGGUUGCGACAGCAGGUCCAGCACAGGAUCGACAGCACGCCGGGGGGAUCGGGCUGAUCCACAACUUGCACAUUCUGCCUCUCCGGCCGGUUGAGCACCCGCCCACUCAUUUCAUGGGUUGGCUUAGGCAUACAAAGUUCAUUCCAUGUCUAAGCCCCAAUCGGACCGAGGGUUAUGGCAGCAAGAUCAGCAGCGGGAUCGAUAUUACGCAGAGGGGGAUCGAGCUGAUCCUCGGCUUGCGCAUUAUGCCUUUUCGGCCAGCCUCUCUUGCUGGUUGAGUGCCCGCACGCUCGUUUUAUGGGCUGACUUAGGCAUACGGAGUUCAUCCCCAGUUUAAACAUACGGAGUUCAUUCCAGUCUAAGAUCAGAUCGGAUCGAAGGUUGUGGCAACUGGACCAGUAGUAAGAUCGGUAGCACGCAAGGGGGCCGGGCCGAUCCCUGGCUUGUGCAUUCUGCCUCUCUGGCCGACUGAGCACCCACACGCUCGUUUUGUGGGUUGGCUUAGGCAUACGGAGUUCAUUCCAUGUCUAAGCAUACGGAGUUCAUUCCCAGUCUAAGAUUUUGAGUCACGGUGCACAUGCUGGGCUCGGGCAUGUGCUAGUGUCACUUUUUUUUGGCUCGGGGCACCAUCGACGGAGCAUCGCCAGAGCAUCACCGGAGAGCCUAACCGACGGCAUUAAAGGUUUCGACGAUUGGGGGGUCGGGGGUGUGUACACAUGAUGUGCGAUGGGUGCUGGUUCUUGUGUCACGAGCUCUGACCUUAAACUUAGAAACUGUAUGGCCUUAGGCUUGGAAUCUCCUCACUUAUGCAUAAGUCAGCUUAAAACACAAGCGUAUGGGCACUAGAACAACAGGAAGGGCUGAUUACACAAGUUAAAGAGAAACAGGAUAAGAAGGCAGAAUUCUGGAAAUGCUCUUGUAUUCACUAAAACGGAAGUGUUUGAUGGUGUACAAAUGAGGGAGGUCCAGCCCUCUAUUUAUAGUUGAGGCUCCAGCUUACACUUAAUGGCAAUAUCCCUAGAAUAAAGGCUAAAAUCAUGGGAUUAUAUAGAUUACAAUCAAUCAGGAUGCUAACUCCUGAUUUUCAGGGUUAACCAAAUCUGCCAGGAUGCUGCUGCUGAUCCUGCCUACUUCCAAAAGCUUCCUUUGCGUGUCUAGCACCUUAGGCCCUUCUGGAUGUGUUACGGGCAGCUUGUAUGCUAGGCCUUGGUCUUAUGGGCUAGCCUGCAAGUUGGGUGGGCGUUCAGAACUCAUUUGCUAGGCUUUGCAUGUAGAUACCCGCCAGCACGCCUGGUCUACGAGCCUCAACCUCUAGCUCACCUGUUGGUGCACCUGAUUGCAUAACACCCUCAUUGUGUCUUCUGCAUGGUACUGCCUAAUUUGGUCCCUGAACUGCCAUAAGUCAUCUGCUGGUUCCCAGCUCGCCUCACUGUCUGAAAGUCCCUUCUAGCACACCAAGUACUCUUGUCUUGGAUAAUAGUUCUUUCGUCUCACCUCCUGAUCAGCUAUGAUGUUGUGGACCUCCUUCUCAUAUGAGGCCCUUGCUCCCAAUGGCGCACGCUUUGACUCUGCCCGUCCUGGAUCUCCCUCAUCCUCAUGGAACGGCUUGAGCAUGCUCACAUGGAACACCAGGUGUACCUUCGGCUUGGGUGGCAUAUCCAGCUUGUAGGCAACCUUGCCUACCCUCUUGACUACUCGAAAAGGUCCCUCAUACCUCCAAACUAGGCCUUUGUGCAGCCCCCUAUGGUGCACAAUGGGAUGCAGCUUCACCAACACCAAGUUUCCAACCUAGAACUCCACGUCCCGCCUAUUCUAGUCUGCCCACUUCUUUGACCUCUUGGCCGUCUUGUGUAGACAAACUCUGGCCAAGUCAGUUUGCUCCUGCCAUGCCUUGGCAAACUUGUAUGUUGCUGGAUUCAGCCCUGUAUAACCUGCAGCAAUCGAACCGGGUGUUAGUUGUUGUUGCCCUGUCACAACCUCAAAUGGGCUCUGGUUCGUUGCCUCGCUCUUUUGCAAGUUGUAGGAAAAUUGUGCAAUAUCUAGCAGCUUUGGCCAGUCCCUUUGUGUGGCACUCACAUAGUGCCUGAGAUAGACCUCUAAUAGUCCAUUCACUCGUUCUGUCUGCCCAUCGGUCUGUGGAUGCAUGCUGGUGGAAAAGUUCAAGUCUGACCCUAACAGCUUGAACAACUCAGUCCAGAACCUGCCCGUGAAAUGCCCGUCUCGAUCACUAAUAAUGGUCCUCGGCACUUCCUAGUACUUAACCAUGUUCUUCAGGAACAAUCGAGCUGCCUCCUCGGCUGUGCACUCCUUGGUUGCUGGAAUGAAGAUUCCAUACUUGGAAAACCUGUCCACCACUACCAUGAUGCUUUUAAACCCUUUUGCUUUGGGUAGACUGACUAUAAAGUCUAGAGAAACACUCUCCCAUGGUCACUCUGGCACUGGCAAUGGCUCCAAGAGACCACCUGGUUUCUUGAGCUCCACCUUGUCCUAUUGGCACACAAGACAAGUCUUCACAUAGGCCUCCACAUCGUCCCUCAUGUGCGGCCAGUAGUAUCGAUCCUCGAUCAACACCAAGGUACGACUCACUCCGGGGUGUCCAGCCCAUCUUGAAUCAUGGCAUUCUUGCAAAACUUCCUUGCAGAGCUUUUCGUGCUGUGGUACAAAUAGUCUACUUCCCCUGGUGUACAGUAAGCCAUCCUGUAACCAAAACUGCCUAGUCUUACCUUGCUGGGCGUACUCCAUCAAAGCCUUGGCUAUAGGAUCAUGUGCAAGUCCCUCUUUGAUGGGCGGCACCAGUGACCCCUCUAGUUGGCUAAUGGUAGCAAGGUUAGCCUUCCUGCUCAGGGCGUCUGCCACUAGGUUCACCCAUCCCUGCUUGUACUGCAUCUGGAAAUCAAAUUUCGCAAGAAAAUCUUACCAUCUCGCCUACUUGGGGGAUAGCUUCUUCUGCGUCUGGAAGUAGCUGGUCGUCACAUUGUCCAUCUUAACCAUGAACCUCGACCCCAACAGGUAAUGGUGCCAAGUGUGUAAGCAGUGCACCACUACAGUCAUCUCCUUCUCUUGGACCUUGUACUUGCGCUCAGUCUCGUUCAGCUUCCUGCUCUUGAACAUGACUGGACGUCCCUCCUGCAUCAACAAGCCCCCUAUGGCAAAGUCUGAUGCAUCUGUAUGCACCUCAUAUGGCUUGGUAUGGUCUGGCAAGGGUAAGACUGGCUCUUCGAUCACAGCCUGCUUCAACCUGUCAAAGGCUUCCUGGCACCCUGCGCUCCACUCCCAUGCUUUCCCUUUCUUGAGCAAGUCAGUCAAUGGCGUGGCUAUUGCUGAGUGACCUUUGAUGAAGCGCUUGUAGUAGUUGACCAGCCCAAGGAAUGAUCUCAACUCAGUGACCUUGGCUGGCGGUUGCCACUCCAAGAUGGCAUGUAUCUUACCUUCAUCCAUGCGUAUCUUGCCACUUCCCACUAUGUGGCCAAGGAACAGGAUCUCCAGCUAGGCGAAUGAGCACUUCUCCCUCUUGACAAAUAGCUUGUGCACUCGCAACACCUCGAACACCUGUCUCAAGUGGUCUACAUGCUCUCCCAAAGUCUGGCUGUAGAUCACAAUGUCAUCCAAAUAAACCACAACAAAUUGAUCAAGGAAUGACUGAAGUACCUUGUUCAUAAGGGUGCAGAAUGUUGCUAGGGCGUUCGUAAGUCUGAAAGGCAUCACCAAGAACUCAUACGAACCAUACCAAGUGACACAUGCUGUCUUUGGCUCAUCUCCUUCCGUGAUCCUGACUUGAUAGUAGCCUGACCUCAAAUCCAGCUUGGUGAACCACCUUACGCUCCCAAGUUGGUCGAAUAAGUCUGCAAUGAGUGGGAUGGGGUACUUGUUCUUGAUGGUUAGCUUGUUCAAAGCCCGGUAGUCUAUGCACAGUCACAACGACCCAUCAUGCUUGCGCUAAAAUAGAAUUGGUGCACCAUAGGGUGCCUUCGAUGGCCUGAUGAAACCAGCAUCAACUAACUCUUUGAGCUGCUUCCUCAACUCCUCCAACUCUGGUGGAGACAUUAGGUAAGGGGCUCUAGCUGGUGGCUUGGCCUCGGACACUAGCUCGAUCUUAUGGUCCACCUCCCUCUUAGGUGGUCGCUUGCUAGGUAGCUUUACGGGCAUCACAUCACUUAAGGUCUUUGGCACCUUUAGCACCUCCAAGGGUGACUCGAUCUCCUUCUCCUUUGGCUCAUCAUAUUUCAGGGCUGCCAAGAAGGUGUCUUCUUGUCUGCUUAUCGCCUUAGCAAAUUGGAUGGCUGACACCACCCGCAACCCAACUCCAGACCCUCUCCUCAAUGGCACUAGGCAUUGGCACCGUGCAUCCAAGAUGCAAACACAAUCGACAAAAGGCACAAAGAGGGCAUUAAUCCGAACAAAGAAAUCCAACCCAAUCACAAACUCAUAGUCGUCAAGGGUAUUACCUCAAUGGUCUCCUUGCCUUUCUAGUUUCCAAGCUGUAACUCCACUCCCCGCGCUACUCCAUUGGCUGGAACUUCCUUGGAGUUCACCGUUUUGAUGGUACCAGUCCUUUUUUGUACCUUUAGUCUGACCUUUCGAGCUCUAUCACCUGAAAUAAAAAGAUGUGAGGCACCAUGUCCACCAGUGCACUCACCUUCUGACCCGUAACCAUCAGAUCCGUAAACAUCAAGCCCUUUGGCUUGCUACUCCCCUUACUCUGGACAGCAUUACUACUCCUCAUCAGACUCCUUGUCUACAGCAGCCAGCUUACCCUUCUGUGGGUAAUUGCACGCUAUGUGGCUCCCUCCACAUAGGUAGCAUGCUAGUGGCUCUCGGUCCCCUUUUGCUUUCCACUUGCUUGCUGGUGGCUUCCUCUCGCCAUCCUUGGUUGAAUGGUCUCAGUCUCUAUCCUUGGACUCCCGGCCAUGGUCCUUCCCCUUGGACUGCUUCUUUUGAUCCCUAUCAUCCCUGUCCUUACCCUUGGGCUUGGUAGAUUCAAACUUGUUCAGAGGCUUGAACUCUAUCAAGGCCUCGACAGUAGUCAUGGCUUUAGCCAAGUCAUGAACUCCUCUCCUUUGUAGCUCAUGCUUCACCCACGGCUUCAGCCCAUCCAUGAAAGCAAAUAAGGAGUCCUUCUCACCUAGAUCCGAGAUCUAUAGCAUCAGUUCAGAGAAUUUCUAGACAUACUCCCUUAUGUCCCCUUGCUGGCUCAGCCUGCAUAACUUUGCCCGCCUCAUCAUCGACAUACUCUGGGUAAAAUUAUUCUCUGAACUCCUUUUGGAACUCUGCCCAGGUUCCAAUCUUGGUGCUCCCAUGCCUGACAUCAUCACACCUAUGCCUCUACCACAAUAAGGCUACAUCAGUGAGAUACAUACAGCGGUGCUUACCUUUAUCGCCUCAUCUUGCAUGCCCAUGGCCUGGAAGUACUGCUCCAUACCCUAAAGGUAGUUAUCUACUUCCUUGGCUGCCCUAGUCCCCUUGAACUCCUUAGGCUUGGGGACAUCCAAUCUGGACUUGGACACUCCAGCAAACAGCCAUUCCUAAUGGCAGUCUUGCAAGCAAUGAGCUCACUGGUAAGCUUCUCCAUCCGCUGGCGCAUGGCCUCCAUGCCAUCGUGCAAGGUCAGCACUUCAGCCUCCAAGGUCUGAUUCUUUUGGGUGAACACGUCCAAGCCUUUGUUGAGAGCAGCUUGCAGCUCACUUUGGAUCCCUCCCCUAUGGAGUCUAGCGAUGCAAUGUGAGUCUCUACCCCCUCAAGCUUCUCCUCCAUGUGCCCAUGGUCACCUCCACCUUGGCCACCUACCGUCCAUGGUAGACCAGAUAUCUCUAGAACUAGCUUUCCUCCCUCUUCCACACCCAUGCUCUGGGCCUCUGGUUGUUGGUUAGCAGCGUCACUUUGGGAUGCCAUCUCCUCUAACCUGCACAACACAAACACGUAGAAUCGAACUUGCUCUGAUACCAACUGUCACAGGCUCUGACCUUAGACUCAGAAACCGUGUGGCCUUAGGCUUGGAAUCUCCUCCUUUAAGCCUAAGUCAGCCUAAAACACAAGCGUACGAGCACUAGAACAACAGGAAGGGCUGAUUACGCAAGUUAAAGAGAAACAGGAUAAGAAGGUAGAAUUCUAGAAAUGCUCUUGUAUUCACUGAAAUAGAAGUGUUUGAUGGUGUACAAAUGAGGGAGGAGCAGCCCUCUAUUUAUAGUUAAGGCUCCAGCUUACACUUAAUGGCAAUAUCCCUAGAAUAAAGGCUAAAAUCAUGGGAUUAUAUAGAUUAUAAUCAAUCAGGAUGCUAACUCCUGAUUUUCAGGGUCAACCAAAUCUGCCUGGAUGCUGCUGCUGAUCCUGCCUGCUUCCAAAAGCUUCCCUUGCAAGUCCAGCACCUUGGGCCCUUCUGGAUGUGGUGCAGGCAGCUUGUAUGCCAGGCCUUGGUCUCACGGGCUGGCCUGCAAGUUGGGCGGGCAUUCUGAACUCAUUCGCUAGGCUUUGCGUGUAGAUACCCGCCAGCACGCCUGGUCUGUGGGCCUCAACCUCUGGCUCUCCUGCUGGUGCACCUGAUGUGCCUGGCGCCCACCCUGGGCAUGACACUUGGCCCUUAUAUUGGCCCCCUAUCCCUCAUCAAACCUCGAGAACUCACACCCCCUUAAAGAGCAUUUGAGAUUUUAUAGGUUUGCUGCCAGUAGCCAUUAAAGUGUCCAAAAUGGGGACACUUUUUUCAAACGAUCACAAAAUCUUCUCCACUUCGAGUUUUUAGCUCAAGUGUUUUGUGCAUGCCAACAAAAAUACAAGGAUCACCUCUACCAAUUUGGGGACAAAACUCUUUCUAAAAAAUUUUUAAAAAAUCUCGAACCGCAAAAUGUUUCAAAAAUCGUGAAAAAUAGAAAACGGGUCGUCUUGCCACGAAACUUCACAUGAAGGCUUAGGGGACCAUUAUAUCAAUUUACAAGUCAUAAAAAUGGCAUUGGCAUGGCAGAAAUAUGAAGAUGUGCUUGAACCCACCUACCACCCGUUCGAUCCCUAGCUUACGCAACCUGCCUCUCUGGUCGGCUGAGCGCCCGCACGCUCGUUUUAUGGGUUGACUUAGGCAUACGGAGUUCAUCCCCAGUCUAAGCAUAUGGAGUUCAUUCCCAGUCUAAGAUCGAACUGGAUCGAGGGUUGUGGUAGUAGGAUCGACAGCACGCAGGGGGGAUCGGGCCAAUCCCCAGCUUGCACAUUUUGCCUUUCCGGUCGGCUGAGCACCCGUACGCGUGUUUCGUGGGUUGGCUUAGGCAUAAGGAGUUCAUUCCAUGUCUAAGCCCCAGCCGGACCAAGGGUUGUGGCAGCGGGACUGGCAGCACGCAGAGGGGGACCAGGCCAAUCCCUGGUUUGCGCGUUAUGCCUCCCCGGUCGGCUCAAUGCUUGCACAUUCAUUUCAUGGGUUGACUUAGGCAUACAGAGUUCACUCCCAAUCUAAGAUCUGAUCGGACUGAGGGUUGUGAUAGCAGGAUCGACAGCACGUAGGGGGGGACCGGGUCGAUCCCUGGCUUGCGCAUUUUGCCUCUCCGGCCGGCCGUAAGCUCGUUUCAUGGGUUGGCUUAGGCAUACGGAGUUCAUUCCAUGUCUAAGCAUACGAAGUUCAUUCCCAAUCUAAGAUUGGACCGGAUUGAGGGUUGCAGCAGUAGGACUAGUAGCAGGAUCGGCAACACGAAGGGGGGAUCGGGCCGAUCCUCGAUUUGCACAUUCUGCCUCUCUGACCGACUGAGCACCCGCACGCUCGUUUCGUGGGUUGACUUAGGCAUACGGAGUUCAUCCCCAGUCUAAGCAUACGGAGUUCAUUCCCAGUCUAAGAUCAGAUCGAACCGAGGGUUACGACAGCAGGAUCGACAGCACGUAGGGGGGACCAGGCCGAUCCCCGGCUUAUGCAUUCUGCCUCUCCGAUCGGCUGAGCACCUGCACGCCCAUUUCAUGGGUUCGCUUAGGCAUAGGGAGUUCAUUCCAUGUCUAAGCCCCAGCCAGACCGAGGAUGUGGCAGUGGGACUGACAGCAUGCAGAGGGGGAUCGGGUCGAUCCCCAGCUUGUGCAUUAUGCCUCUUCGGCCUGCUUAGCGCCUGUACGCUCAUUUCGUUUGUGCAUGCCAACGAAAUGCAAGGACAACCUCUAACAAAUUUGGGGACAAAAAUCUUUCUAAAAAAAUUUUUAAAAAUCCCGAACCGAAAAAAGUUUCAAAAAUCAUGAAAAAUAGAAAAUGAGUCGUCUUGCCACGAAACUUCACAUGAAGGCUUAGGGGACCAUUGCAUGAAUUUACGAGCCAUAAAAAUGGCAUUGGCACGGAAGAAAUAUGAAGAUGUGCUUGAACCCACCUACCACCCAUUCGAUCCCCGGCUGCGCAUCCUGCCUCUUUGGUCAGCUGAGCGCCUGCACGCUCAUUUCGUGGGUUGACCUAGGCAUACGGAGUUCAUCCCAGUCUAAGCAUAUGGAGUUCAUUCCAGUCUAAGAUUUUGAGCCACGGUGCACAUACUGGGCUAGGGCUUGUGCUGCUGCCACUUUUUUUUCACCCGGGGCACCAUCGCCAGAGCGUCGCCGGAGCAUCGCCGGAGAGCCUAACCAGUAGCAUUAGGGGUCCGACGAUUGGGGGGGUCGGGGGGGUGCGCACAUGAUGUGCAUGGGUGCUGGGUACUUGGCCUUAUAUGGCCCCCUAUCCCUCAUCAAACCUCGAGAACUCAGCACCCCCUUAAAAGAUGCAUUUGAGAUUUAUAGGUUUGCUGCCAAUAGCCAUUAAAGUGUCUGAAAUGGGGACACUUUUUUCAACGGUCACAAAAUCUUUUCCACAUCGAGUUUUUAGCUAAAUAUUUUUGUGCAAUGCCAAAAAAAUACAAGAAUCACCUCUAACAAAUUUGGAUACAAACGCUUUCCUAAAAAAAUUUUAAAAAUCCCCAACCGUAAAAUGUUUUGAAAAUAAUGAAAAAUAGAAAACUGUUCGUCUUGCCACGAAACUUCACAUGAAGGCUUAGGGGACCAUUGUAUGAAUUUACAAGCCAUAAAAAUGGCAUUGGCACGGUAGAAAUAUGAAGAUGUGCUUGAACCCACCUACCACUCGCUCGAUCCCCGACUUACGCAUCCUGCCUCUUUGGCCAGCUGAGCCCCCGCACGCUCGUUUUAUGGGUUGACUUAGGCAUAUAGAGUUCAUCCCCAGUCUAAGCAUACGCAGUUCAUUCCCAGUCUAAGAUCGGACCAGACCAAGGGUUGUGAUAGCAGGAUGGGUAGCACGUAGGGGGGACCGAACCGAUCCCCGGCUUGCGUAUUCUGCCUCUCCGACCGGCUGAGUGCCUGCACGCCCGUUUAGUGGGUUAGCUUAGGCAUAAGGAGUUCAUUCUAUGUCUAAGCCCCAGCGGGACCAAGGGUUGUGGCAGCAGGACCGACAUUUCGUAGAGGGGGACCGAUCCAGUCCCCAGCUUGCGCAUUAUGCCUCUCCGGCCGGCUCAGCGCUGCAGGCUCAUUUCGUGGGUUGACCUAGGCAUACGGAGUUCAUUCCCAUUCUAAGAUUAGACCAGAUCGAGGGUUGCGGUAGCAAGAUUGAAAGCACACAGGGGGAUCGGGUCGGUCCCCGGCUUACGCAUUCUGCCUUUGCGACCGGCUGAGCACCCGCACGUUUGUUUCGUGGGUUGGAUUAGGCAUACGGAGUUCAUUCCAUGUCUAAGCAUAUGGAGUUCAUUCCUAGUCUAAGAUGGGAUCGGAUCGAGGGUUGUGGCAAAAGUACUAGCAGCAGGAUCGGCAGCACGCAGGGGGGUACCGGUCAAUCCCCAUCUUGUGCAUUCUGCCUCUGCAGCCGGUUGAGCGCCCGAACGCCCAUUUCGUGGGUUGGCUUAGGCAUAGGGAGUUCAUUCCAUGUCUAAGCCCCAACCGGACCAAGGGUUGUGGUAGCGGGACCGACAGCACGCAGAGGGGGACUGGGCUGAUCCCCGGCUUGUGCAUUAUGCCUCUUCGGCAGGCUUAGCACUCACACGCUCAUUUCAUGGGUUGACUUAUGCGUACGAAGUUCAUUCCCAGUGUAAGAUCUAACCAGAUCGAGGGUUGCGAUAGUAUAAACGAUAGCAUGCAAUGGGGGAUCGGGUCAAUCCCCGGCUUACGCAUUCUACCUCUCCGACCGACUGAGUGCCCGCACGCUCGUUUCAUGGGUUAGCUUAGGCAUACGGAGUUCAUUACAUGUCUAAGCAUAUGGAGUUCAUUCCCAAUCUAAGAUUGGAUCGGAUCGAGGGUUGCAGCAGUAGGAUCUGCAGCUCGCAAGGGGGGACCGAGCCUAUCCCCGACUUGUGCAUUCUGCCUCUUCGACCGACUGAGCUCCCGCACGCCCAUUUCAUGGGUUGGCUUAGGCAUAGGGAGUUCAUUCCAUGUCUAAGCCCAAGCUGGACCAAGGGUUGUGGCAACGGGACCGGCAGCAUGUAGAGGUGGACCGGGCCGAUCCCCGACUUGCGCAUUAUGCCUUUUCGAUCGGCUCAGCGCCCGCACCCUCGUUUCGUGGGUUGACUUAUGCAUACGGAGUUCAUUCCCAGUCUAAGAUCAGACCAGACUGAGGGUUGCGGCAGCAAGAUAGACAACAUGCAGGGGGACCAAGCCGAUCCCCGACUUGCGCAUUUUGCCUCUCCGGCCGGCUGAGCGUCCGCACGCUCGUUUCGUGGGUUUGCUUAGGCAUACAGAGUUCAUUCCAUGUCUAAGCAUACAGAGUUCAUUCCCAGCCUAAGAUUUCGAGCCACAGUGCACAUGCUGGGCUCGGGCAUGUGCUAAAGCCAAAUAUUUUUCACCCGGGGCACCAUCGUCGGAGCAUCUCCGUAGCAUCGCCGGAGAGCCUAACCAGUGGCAUUGGGGGUUCCAGUGAUUGGGGGGGCCGGGGGGUGUGCGCACAUGAUGUGUGAUUGGUGCUGGUACUUGGCCCUUAUAUUGGCCCCCUAUCCCUCAUCAAACCUCAAGAACUCACACCCCCUUAAAGAGCAUUUGAGAUUUUAUAGGUUUGCUGCCAGUAGCCAUUAAAGUGUUUGAAAUGGGGACACUUUUUUCAAACGGUCACAAAUCUUCUCCACUUUGAGUUUUUUGCUGAAUUUUUUUGUGCAUGCCAAAAAGAAUACAGGGAUCACCUCUACCAAAUUUGGAGAAAAAACUCUUUCUAAAAAAAUUUUAAAAAAUCUCGAACCGCAAAAAGUUUCAAAAAUCAUAAAAAAUAAAAAACAGGUCGUCUUGCCACGAAACUUCACAUGAAGGCUUAGGGGACCAUUGUAUGAAUUUAAAAGCCAUAAAAAUGGCAUUGGCAUGGCAGAAAUAUGAAGACAUGCUUGAACCCACCUACCACCCUUUCGAUCCCCGGCUUGCGCAUCCUGUCUCUCUGGUCGGCUGAGCGCCUGCAUGCUCAUUUCGUGGGUUGACUUAGGCAUACGGAGUUCAUCCCCAGUCUAAGCAUACGGAGUUCAUUCUUAGUCUAAGAUCAGACCGGAUCGAGGGUUGCGACAGCAGGAUCGACAGCACGCAAGAGGGACCGGACUGAUCCCCAGCUUACGCAUUCUGCCUCUCAGACCGACUGAGCGCCUGAACGCCCGUUUCGUGGGUUGGCUUAGGCAUAGGAAGUUCAUUCCAUGUCUAAGCCCCAGUUGGACUGAGGGUUGUGGCAGCGGGACCAGCAGCACACAGAGGGGGACUGAGUCGAUCCCCGGCUUGCGUAUUAUGCCUCUUCGACCGGCUCAGCACCCGCACGCUCAUUUUGAGGGUUGACCUAGGCAUACGGAGUUCAUUCCCAGUCUAAGAUCAGCCUAGACUGAGGGUUGCAGUAGCAGGAUCGAUUGGACGUAGGGGGAAUCGGGUCGAUCCCCGGCUUGCGCAUUCUGCCUCUCCGAUCGACUGAACGCCCGAACGCUCUUUUCAUGGGUUGGCUUAGGCAUACAGAGUUCAUUCCAUGGCUAAGCAUACAGAGUUCAUUCCCAGUCUAAGAUCAGACCAGAUCGAGGGUUGUGAUAGCAGGACUAGCAACAGGAUCGACAGCACGCAUAGGGGAACGGGCCGAUCCCCAGCUUGCACAUUCUGCCUCUUCGACUGGCUAAGCGCCUGCACGCUCAUUUUAUGGGUUGGCUUAGGCAUACGGAGUUCAUUCCAUGUCUAAGCCCUAACCAGAUCGAGGGUUAUGGCAGCAGGACCGAUAGCGGGAUCGGCAGCACGUAGAAAGGGGCCGGGCAUUUCCUCGGCUUACGUAUUCUGCCUCUUCAGUCGGUUGAGCACCCGAAUGCUCAUUUCAUGGGUUGGCUUAGGCAUAGAAGUUCAUUCCAUGUCUAUGCCCCAGCCGAACCGAGGGUUGGAUAGAGACCGCAGCGGGAUCAGCAGCAUACAGAGCACUGGGUUGAUCCUGACUUUCGCAUAGCCUCUCCGAUCGACUGAGGCACAGCAUGCUCGUUCAUGGGUUGAAUUAGGAAACGAGUUAUCCCUAUUGAAGCAUACGGAGUUCAUUCCCAGUCCAUGAUCAGACAGACAAGAGGCGUUAGCGGGAGUGGAUCCGCACGCCUGGGAUGACGAUCCUGCUGUACGCAUUCUGUGGUGAGGCUGGCUGAGCGGGCAUAAGCCAGUUGGGUUGGCUUGAGGCAUACAGUGUCAGUUCAUGUAUAAGCCCUAGCAGAGCGAGGGUUGUGGCAGAUGGGACCGAAGCCAUCAGAGGGGACAUAGGCCGAUCCCGGCUUGCGCAUUAGCCCUUUCAGUAAGCUAGUGCCCGCACGCUCGUUUCGUGGGUUGACUUUUGCAUACGGAGUUCAUUCCCAGUCCAAGAUUGGAUCGGAUCAAGGGUUGUGGCAGCAGGAUUGACAACACACAGGGGGGGAUCGGGCCGAUCCCCGGCUUGCGCAUUCUACCUUUUCGACCGACUGAGUACCCGCACGCUCGUUUCGUGGGUUGGCUUAGGCAUACGGAGUUCAUUCCAUGUCUAAGCAUACGGAGUUCAUUCUCAGUCUAAGAGUUUGAGCCACGGUGCACAUGCUGGGCUCGGGCAUGUGCUCGUGCCACAUUUUUUCACCCGGGGCAACAUCGUCGGAGCAUCGUCGGAGAGCCUAAUCGGCGGCAUUGAGGGUUCCGGUGAUUGGGGGGGCCGGAGGGUGUACGCAUAUGAUGUGCAAUGGGUGCUGGUACUUGGCCCUUAUAUUGGCCCCCUAUCCCUCAUCAAACCUCAAGAACUCACACCCCAUCAAAGAGCAUUUGAGAUUUUAUAGGUUUGCUGCCAGUAGCCAUUAAAGUGUCUAGAAUGGGCACACUUUUUUCAAAUGGUCACAAAAUCUUCUCCACUUCGAUUUUUUAGAUGAAUUUUUUUAUGCAUGCCAACAAAAAUACAGGGAUCACUUCUACCAAAUUUUAGGACAAAAAUCUUUCUAAAACAAUUUUAAAAAAUCCUGAACCGUAAAAAGUUUCAAAAAUCGUGAAAAAUAGAAAACGGGUCGUCUUGCCAUGAAACUUCACAUGAAGGCUUAGGGGACCAUUGUAUGAAUUUAAAAGCCAUAAAAAUGGCAUUGCCAUGGCAGAAAUAUGAAGAUGUGCUUGAACCCACCUACCACACGUUCAAUCCUCGACUUACGCAUCCUGCCUCUCUGAUCGGUUGAGCGUCCGCACGCUCAUUUCGUGGGUUGACUUAGGCAUACGAAGUUCAUCCCUAGUCUAAGCAUACAGAGUUCAUUCCCAGUCUAAGAUCAGACCGGACCAAUGGUUGCGACCGGGUCGAUCCUCGGCUUACGCAUUCUGCCUCUUCGACCGGUUGAGCACCCGUAAGCCCAUUUCAUGGGUUGGCUUAGGUAUAAGGAGUUCAUUCCAUGUCUAAGCCCUAGCUGGACUGAGGUUUGUGGGAGCAAGACUGGCAGCACACAAAGGGGGACCGGGCCGAUCCGCUACUUGCGCAUUAUGCCUCUCCGAUUGGCUCAGCGCCCUAACGCUCGUUUCAUGGGUUAGCUUAGGCAUAUGGAAUUCAUUCCAUGUUUAAGCAUACAGAGUUCAUUCCCAAUCUAAGAUCAGACCGACAGUAGUGACAGCAGGACCGGUAACAGGAUCGAUAGCAUGCAGGGGGAUCGGGUCGGUCCUCGACUUACGCAUUCUGCCUUUUCGGCUGGCUGAGCGCCCGUACGCUCGUUUCAUGGGUUGGCUUAGGCAUACGGAGUUUAUUCCAUGUCUAAGCAUACGGAGUUCUUUCCCAGUCUAAGAUUGGAUCGGAUCAAGGGUUGUGAUAGUAGGACCAGCAGUAGGAUCGGUAGCACGCAGGAAGGACCGGGUCGAUCCUCGACUUACGUAUUCUACCUCUUCGAUCGGGUGAAUGCCCGUACGCUUGUUUCAUGGGUAGGCUUGGGCAUACGGAGUUCAUUCCAUGUCUAAGCAUACAGAGUUCAUUCCCAGUCUAAGAUCAAAUCAGACCAAGGGUUGCCGCAGCAGGACCAGUAGCAGGAUCGACAGCACGCAGGGGGGGAUCGAGCCAAUCCCCGACUUGCGCAUUCUACCUCUCCGGCCGGCUGAGCACCCGCACUCUUGUUUUAUGGGUUGGCUUAGGUAUACAGAGUUCAUUCCAUGUCUAAGCAUACGGAGUUCAUUCCCAGUCUAAGAUCGGAUCGGACCAAGGGUUACGAUAGCAGGACCAGUAGUAGGAUCGACAGCACGUAGGGGGGAUCAGAUCGAUCCCCAGCUUGUGCAUUCUGCCUCUCCGGUCGACUGAGUGCCUGUACGUUCGUUUCGUGGGUUGGCUUAGGGAUAGGGAGUUCAUUCCAUGUCUAAGCCCCAACCAGACCGAGGGUUGUGGCAGUAGGACCGACAGCGGGAUUGGCAUCACGCGGAGGGUGACCGAGCUGAUCCCCGGCUUGUGCAUUAUGUCUCUCCGAUCGACUGAACACUCGUACGCUCAUUUCAUGGGUUGACUUAGGCAUACGGAGUUCAUCCCCAUUCUAAGCAUAUAGAGUUCAUUCCCAAUCUAGGAUCAGACCGAACCGAGGGUUGCGGUAGCAGGAUCGACAGCAUGCAUGGGGGACUGGACUGAUCCCCGACUUGCGCAUUCUGCCUCUCCGACCGGCUUGAGGCCCGCACGCCGUUUUGAGGGUUGGCUUAGGCAUCGGGAGUUAUCCAUUCCUAAGCCCAGUCAAACUGAAAGGUUGUGGUAGUGGCCUACAGUCACGUAGAAGGGAUCGGGCUGAUCCCCGGCUUAUGCAUAUGCCUCCUGAUCAGCUCAGCGCCCGCACGUCGUUCGUGGGUUGACUUAGGCAAUACAAGUUCAUUCCCAGUCUAAGAUUCGAUAGAGGUGCGCCUAGGUGCAACACGUAGAGGAUGGCCGAUCCUGGUUGCGCAUGCUCUGGCGAACAACACUCAUCUAGGUCGGCUAGAAUGGAAGCAAUCCAUUGCUAAGCUUGGAUUCAACUCCUAAGAUCGACCGAUUGGACGAGCUAGCGCCACGUACUGCUGGAUUGGCCGACCUGCAGCUUCGACGGGCGCACACUCGUUUCGUGGGUUGGCUUAAGCAUACGAAGUUCAUUCCAUGUCUAAGCCUAGUCAGACCGAGGGUUGUGACAGCAUGACUCGUAGUGGGAUCGGUAGCAUGCAGAGGGGGACCGAGUUGAUCCCCGGCUUAUGCAUUAUGUCUCUCCGACCGGCCUCUUCCACCGGCUGAGAGCCCACACGUUCAUUUCGUGGGUUGACUUAGGCAUACGGAGUUCAUCCCUAGUCUAAGCAUGUGGAGCUCAUUCCCAGUCUAAGAUCGGACCGGACCGAGGGUUGCGACAGAAAGAUCGACAGCAUGCAGGGGGGAUCGGGUCGAUCCUCGGCUUACGCAUUCUGCCUCUCCGGUCGGUUGAGCUCCCGCACGCCCGUUUCAUGGGUUGGCUUAGGCAUAGGGAGUUCAUUCCAUGUCUAAGCCCUAGUCGGACCGAGGGUUGUGGUAACAGGAUCGGUAGCACGUAGAGGGGGACCGGGUCGAUCCCUGGCUUGCGUAUUAUGCCUUUUCAGUGGGCUCAGCGCCUGAACGCUUGUUUCAUGGGUUGACUUAGGCAUACAAAGCUCAUUCCCAGUCUAAGAUCAGACGGGACCGAGGGUUGCGAUAGCAGGAUCGAUAGCAUGCAGGGGGGAUCGGGUCGAUCCCCGGCUUGCGUAUUCUGCCUCUCCGGUUGGCUGAGUGCUCGCAUGCUCCUUUCAUGGGUUGGCUUAGGCAUACAGAGUUCAUUCCAUGUCUAAGCAUACGAAGAUCAUUCCCAGUCUAAGAUCAGACCGGAUCGAGGCUUGCAGCAGCAGGAUCGACAGCACGUAGGGGGGACUGAGCCGAUCCUCGGCUUGAGCAUUCUGCCUCUUUAGUCGGCUGAGCGCCCGCACGCUCGUUUCGUGGGUUAGGCAUACAGAUUUCAUCCCCAGUCUAAGCAUACGAAGUUCAUUCCCAGUCUAAGAUUGAACUGGACCGAGGGUUGUAGUAGUAGGAUCGGCAGUACGCAGGGGGGACCGAGCUGAUCCCCAACUUGCGCAUUCUGCCUCUUCGACCGGCUGAGCACCCGCAUGCCCGUUUCGUGGGUUGGCUUAGGCGUAGGGAGUUCAUUCCAUGUCUAAGCCCCAGUCAGACCAAGAGUUGUGGCGACGGGAUCGACAGCAUGUAGAGGGGGAUCGGGUCGAUCCCUGGCUUGCGCAUUCUGCCUCUCCGACUGGCUGAACGCUCGCACACUCAUUUCAUGGGUUGGCUUAGGCAUACGGAGUUCAUUCCUUGUCUAAGCAUACGGAGUUCAUUCCUAGUCUAAGAGUUUGAGCCAUGGUGCAAAUGCUGGGCUCGGGCAUGUGCUGGUGUCACAUUUUUUUCACCCGAGGUACCAUCGCCGGAGCAUCACCGGAUAGCCUAACCGGCGGCAUUGGGGGUUCCGACGAUCGGGGGGCUGGGGGGUGUGCGCAUAUGAUGUGCGAUGGGUGCUGGUACUUGGCCCUUAUAUUGGCCCCCUAUCCCUCAUCAAACCUCAAGAACUCACACCCCCUUAAAGAGCAUUUGGGAUUUUAUAGGUUUGCGGCCAGUAACCAUUAAAGUGUUUGAAAUGGGGACACUUUUUUCAAACGGUCAAAAAAUCUUCUCCACUUCGAGUUUUUAGCUGAAUUUUUUUGUGCAUGCCAACAAUUGUGAAAAGUGAAAAUUGUGAAACUCUUUCUAAAACAAUUUUAAAAAAUCUCGAACCGUAAAAAGUUUUAAAAAUUGUGAAAAGUAGAAAAUGGGUCGUCUUGCCAUGAAACUUCACAUGAAGGGGUAGGGGACAUUGUAUGAAUUUACAAGCCAUAAAAAUGGCAUUGGCACGGCAAAAAUAUGAAUAUGUGCUUGAACCCACCUACCACCCGUUCGAUCCCCGGCUUGCACAUCCUGCCUCUCUGGUCGGCUUAACGUCUGCACGCUCGUUUCCUGGGUUGACUUAGGCAUACGGAGUUCAUCUCUAGUCUAAGCAUACGAAGUUCAUUCCCAGUCUAAGAUUGGAUAGGAUCAAGGGUUACGACUAUAGGAUCGAAAGCACGCAGGAGGGUCCGCCCCGAUCCUCAGCUUGCGCAUUCUGCCUCUCAGACCGGCUGAGCACCUGCACGCUCGUUUCGUGGGUUGGCUUAGGCAUAGGGAGUUCAUUCCAUGUCUAAGCCCCAGCCGAACCGAGGGUUGUGGCAGUGGGACCGACAGCACGCAGAAGGGGAUCGGGUCGAUCCCCGGCUUGCCCAUUAUGCCUCUCCAGUCGGCUCAGCACCCGCAUGUUCGUUUUGUGGGUUGACUUAGGCAUACGGAGUUCAUUCCCAGUCUAAGAUCAGACCAGACCGAGGGUUGCGGUAGCAAGAUCGAUAGCACGUAGGGGGGAACCGAGCCGGUCCCUGGCUUGCGUAUUUUGCCUCUCCGGUCGACUGAGCCCCCGCAUGCUCGUUUCAUGGGUUGGCUUAGGCAUACGGAGUUCAUUCCAUGUCUAAGCAUAUGGAGUUCAUUCCCAUUCUAAGAUCGGAUCGGAUCGAGGGUUGCGGUAGCAUGACCAAUAGUAGGAUCGACAGCACGCAGGGGGGAUCGGGCCGAUCCCCGACUUGCGCAUUCUACAUCUUCGGCCGGCUGAGCUCUCGCAUGCUCGUUUCAUGGCUUGGCUUAGGCAUACGGAGUUCAUUCCAUGUCUAAGCCCCAGUCGGACCAAGGGUUGUGGCAGUAGGACCGGUAGCAGGAUCGACAGCAUGUAGAGGAGGAUCGAGCUUAUCCCAGGCUUGGGCAUUAUGUCUUUUCGGUCGACCUCUCCGACUGGCUGAGUGCCCGCACACUCGUGUCAUGGGUUGACUUAGGCCUACAGAGUUCAUCCCCAGUCUAAGCAUACGGAGUUCAUUCCCAGUCUAAGAUCGGACCAAACUAAGGGCUGCGACAGCAAGAUCGACAGCAUGCAGGGUGGACCAGGGCGAUCCCCGACUUGCGCAUUCUACCUCUGCGGUCGGUUGAAUGCCCGUAUGCCCGUUUCGUUGGUUGGCUUAGGCAUAGGGAGUUGAUUCCAUGUCUAAGCCCUAGUCGGACCGAGGGUUGUGGUAGCGAGAUCGAUAGCAAACAGAGGGGGACCGAGCUGAUCCCUGACUUACGUAUUAUGCCUAUUCGGUUGGCUCAGCACCUGAACGCUCGUUUCGUGGGUUGACUUAGGCAUACAGAGUUCAUUCCCAGUCUAAGAUCGGAUCAGACCGAGGGUUGCGAUAGCACACAGGGGGGAUUUGGCCAGUCCCUAGCUUGUGCAUUCUGCCUCUCCGAUGGGCUGAGCGCCCGCACGCUCGUUUCGUGGGUUGGCUUAGGCAUACGGAGUUUAUUCCAUGUCUAAGCAUAUGGAGUUCAUUCCCAGUCUAAGAUCGGAUCGGAUCGAGGGUUGCGGCAGCAGGAUCGACAUCAUGCAGGGGGGAUCGGGCCGAUCCACGGCUUGCACAUUCUGCCUCUCUGGCCGGUUGAGCGCUCGCACGCUCGUUUCAUGGGUAGGCUUAGGCAUACGAAGUUCAUUCAAUGUCUAAGCCCCAGUCGGACUGAGGGUUGUGGCAGCAGAAUCGACAGCAGGAUCAGCAGCACGCAAAGGGGGAUCGGGCUAAUCCCCGACUUGUGCAUUAUGUCUCUCUGACCAGCCUCUUCGAUUGACUGAGUGUACGCAUGCUCGUUUCAUAGGUUGACUUAGGCAUACAGAGUUCAUCCCCGGCUUACGUAUUCUACCUCUCCGACCGACUGAACGCUCGCAUGCUCGUUUCGUGGGUUGACUUAGGCAUACGAAAUUCAUCCUCAGUCUAAGCAUACGGAGUUCAUUCCCAGUCUAAGAUCAAAUCGGACCGAGGGUUGCGAUAGUAGGAUCAGUAGCACGCAGGGGAGACCGGGCCGAUCCCCGGCUUGCGCAUUCUACCUCUCCGGUCGGUUGAGCGCCCGCACGCCCGUUUCAUGGGUUGGCUUCGGCAUAGGGAGUUCAUUCCAUGUCUAAGCCCCAACCAGACCGAGGGUUGUUGCAGAGGGACCGGUAGCAUGCAGAUGGGGACCGGGCCGAUCCCCGGCUUGCACAUUCUGCCUUUCCAGCCGGGUGAGCGCCCGCACGCUCGUUUCGUGGGUUGGCUUAGGCAUACGGAGUUCAUUCCAUGUCUAAGCAUAUGGAGUUCACUCCCAGUCUAAGAGUUUGAGCCACGGUGCACAUGCUGCACUCGGGCAUGUGCUGGUACCACCUUUUUUUGCUUGGGGCACCAUCACCGGAGCACCGUCGAAGAGCCUAACCGGUGGCAUUAGGGGUUCCGAUGAUUGGGGGGCCGAAGGGGUGUGUGCACAUGAUGUGCGAUGGGUGCUGGUACUUGGCCCUCAUAUUGGCCCCCUAUCCCUCAUCAAACCUCGAGAACUCACACCCCCUUAAAGGGCAUUUGAGAUUUUAUAGAUUUGCUGCCAAUAGCCAUUAAAGUGUUUAAAAUGGGGACACUUUUUUCAAACGGUCACAAAAUCUUCUCCACUUCGAGUUUUUAGCUGAAUUUUUUUGUGCAUUCCAACAAAAAUACAAGGAUCACCUAUACCAAAUUUGGGGACAAAUUUCUUUCCAAAAAAAAUUUUAAAAAAUCUUGAACCGUAAAAAGUUUCAAAAAUCGUGAAAAGUAGAAAACGGGUCGUCUUGCCAUGAAACUUCACAUGAAGGUGUAGGGGACCAUUGUACGAAUUUACAGGCCACAAAAAUGGCUUUGGCAGGGCAGAAAUAUGAAGAUGUGCUUGAACCCACCUACCACCCGUUCGAUCCCUGGCUUAUGCAUCCUGCCUCUCUGGUCGGCUGAGCGUCUGCACGCUCGUUUCGUGGGUUGACUUAGGCAUACGGAGUUUAUCCCCAGUCUAAGCAUACAAAGUUCAUUCCCAGUCUAAGAUCAGACCAGACCGAGGGUUGCGACAGUAGGAUCGGUAGCACACAGGGGGGACCGGGCUGAUCCCCGACUUGCACAUUCUGCCUCUCGACCGGCUGAGCUCCCACACGCCGUUUGUGGGUUGGCUUAGGUAUAGGGAGUUCAUUCCAUGUCUAAGACCCAGUCGGACCGAGGGUUGUGACAGCACACAGAGGGGGAUCGGGCCAAUCCUCAGCUUACGCAUUAUGCCUCUCCGGUUGGCUCAGCACCCGUACACUCAUUUCGUAGGUUGACUUAGGUAUACGGAGUUCAUUCCCAGUCUAAGAUCGGACCGGACCGAGGGUUGCGGUAGCAGGAUCGAUAGCACACAGAGGGGGAUCGGGCCGGUCCCCGGCUUGCGCAUUCUGCCUCUCCGAUCGGCUAAGCCCGCCCGUUAGUUUCGUGGGUUGGCUUAGGCAUACGAGUUCAUUCCAUGUCUAACCAUACGAAGUUCUUUCCCAUUCUAAGAUCGGACUGGACCGAGGUUUGCGAUAGCAGGACCAACAGCAGGAUCGGUAGCACGUAGGGGGGACCAGGCUGAUCCUCGCUUGUGCAUUCUGCCUCUUCGACUAGUUGAGCACCCGCACACACGUUCGUUUCAUGGGUUGGUUUAGGCAUACGGAGUUCAUUCCAUGUCUAAGCAUACAGAGUUCAUUCCCAAUCUAAGAUCAGACCAGACCGAGGGUUGCGGCAGCAGGAUUGACAGCCCGCAAGGGGGACCGGGCUGAUCCCUCGGCUUACGCAUUUUGCCUCUUCGACUGGCCGAGCGCCUGCACUCUCGUUUCGUGGGUUGGCUUCGGCAUAUGAAGUUCAUUCCAUGUCUAAGCCCCUGUCGGACCGAGGGUUGUGGUAGCAAGACCGGCAGCGGGAUUCACAGCACGUAGAGAGAGACCGGGCCGAUCCCCGGCCUGCCCAUUAUGCCUUUCUGGUCGACUGAGCACCCGCAUGCUCGUUUCAUGGUUGACUUAGGCAUACAGAGUUCAUCCCCAGUCUAAGCAUACGGAGUUUAUUCCCAGUCUAAGAUCAGACCGAACCAAGGGUUACGGUAGUAGGAUCGAUAGCAUGCUGAGGGGACAGGGUCGAUCCCCGACUUGCGCAUUCUGGCUCUCUGGCUGGCUGAGGGCUCGGAUGCCCAUUUCGUGGGUUGGGUUAGGCAUAGGGAGUUCAUUCCAUGUCUAAGCCCUAGUCAGACUGAGGGUUAUGGCAGCGAGACCGGUAGAACAUAGAGAGGGAUCAGGCCGAUCCCCAGCUUGCGCAUUAUGCCUCUUCGGUCGGCUCAGUGCCCGCACGCUCGUUUCGUGGGUUGACUUAUGCAUAUCAAGUUCAGUCCCAGUCUAAGAUUAGAUCGGGCUGAGGGUUGUGGUAGCAGGAUCGACAGCACGCAGGGGGGAUCAAGCCGAUCCCCGACUUGCGCAUUCUGCCUCUCCAGUCAACUGAGCGCCCUCACGCUUGUUUCGUGGGUUGGCUUAGGCAUACGGAGUUCAUUCCAUGUCUAAGCAUACAGAGUUCAUUCCAUGUCUAAGCAUAUGGAUUGCUUUUCCAGUCAAAUAUUUUGAGCCAUGGUGCACAUGCGUGGGCUCGAGCAUGUUGUUGGUGCCGUAUUUUUCUUCGCUCGGGGCCCAUCACCGGAGCAUUGGUCGGAGGCAUUGGGGGUUCCGAUGAUUUGGGCGGGACCGGUGGGAGUGUGCGCAGCAUGAUGUGGCAAUGGGUGGCUGGUACUGGUGGCCCUUAUAUUGGCCCCCCUAUCCCUCAUCAAACCUUGAGAACUCACAACCCCCUUAAGAGCAUUUGAGAUUUUAUAGGUUUGCUGCCAGUAGCCAUUAAAGUGUCUGAAAUGGGGACACUUUUUUCAAACGGUCACAAAAUUCUUCUCCACUUCGAGUUUUUAGCUGAAUUUUUUUGUGCAUGCCAACAAAAAAUACAAGGAUGCACCUCUACCAAAUUUGGGAACAAAACUCUUUCUAAAAAAAUUUAAAAAAACCCUGAACCACAAAAAGUUUCAAAAAUCAUGAAAAAUAGAAAACGAGUCGUCUUGCCACGAAAUUUCACUUGAAGGCUUAGGGGACCGUUGUAUGAAUUUACAUGCCAUAAAAAUGGCAUUGGCAUGGCAGAAAUAUGACAAUGUGCUUGAACCCACCUACCACCCGUUCGAUCCCCGACUUGCGCAUCCUACCUCUCUAGUCGGCUGAGCGCCCGUACGCUCGUUUCGUGGGUUGACUUCAGCAUACAGAGUUCAUCCCCAGUCUAAGCAUACGAUUUUCAUUCCCGGUCUAAGAUUGGAUCGAACCGGAGGCUGCGACAGCAAUAUCGACAGCACGCAGGGGGAAGCGGGUCGAUCCCCAGCUUGCGCAUUCUGCCUCUCCGGCCGACUGAGCGCCCGCACGUCCAUUUCAUGGGUUGGCUUAGGGAUAGGGAGUUCAUUCCAUGUCUAAGCGCCAGCCAAACUGAGGGUUGUGGCAGUGGGACUGGCAGCACGCAGAGGGCGAUGGGGCCGAUCCUCGACUUGCGCAUUAUGCCUCUCCGAUCGGCUCAACGCCCACACGCUCGUUUCGUGGGUUGACUUAGGCAUAUGGAGUUCAUUUCAGUCUAAGAUCGGACCGAACCGAGGGUUGCGGGAGUAGGAUCGAUAGCAUACAGGGGGGACCCGGCUAGUCCCUAGCUUGCGCAUUCUACCUCUCCGAUCGUUUGAGUGCCCGUACGCUCGUUUCGUGGGUUGGGUUAGGCAUACGGAGUUUAUUCCAUGUCUAAGCAUACGGAGUUCAUUCCCAAUCUAAGAUCGGAUCGGACCGAGGGUUGCGACAGCAGGACCAGCAAUAGGAUUGCAGCACACAGAGGGGGAUCAGGUUGAUCCUCGGCUUACGUAUUCUACCUCUCCGACCGGCUGAACAUCCGCACGCUCGUUUCGUGGGUUGGCUUAGGCAUACGAAGUUCAUUCCAUGUCUAAGCCCCAGCCGGACCAAGGGUUAUAGCAGCAGGACCGAUAGCGGGAUCGGCAGCACGCAGAGGGGGAUCGGGCUGAUCCUCGGCUUGCACAUUAUGCCUCUCCGGCCAGCCUCUCCGGUCGACUGAGCACCCACACGCUCAUUUUGUGGGUUGGCUUAGGCAUACGGAGUUCAUCCCCAGUUUAAGCAUACGGAGUUCAUUCCAUGUCUAAGCAUACGGAGUUCAUUGCCAGUCUAAGAUCGGACUGGACCAAAGGUUGCAGUAGCAGGAUCGACAGCACAUAGGAGGUGACUGGGCCGAUCUCCAACUUGCACAUUCUGCCUCUCCGACCAGCUGAGCACCACACGCUUGUUUCAUGGGUUGGCUUAGGCAUACGGAGUUCAUUCCAUGUCUAAGCAUACAGAGUUCAUUCCCAGUCUAAGAUUUUGAGCCACAGUGCACAUGCUGGGCUCGAGCAUGUGCUGGUACCACAUUUUUUUUGCUCGGGGCACCAUUGUCGAAGCAUCACCGGAGCAUCGUCGGAGAGCCUAACCGGUGGCAUUGGGGGUACCGGCGAUUGGGGAGGCCGGGGGGGUGUGCGCACAUCAUGUGCGAUGGUUGCUGGUACUUGGCCCUUAUAUUGGCUCCCUAUCCCUCAUUAAACCUCAAGAACUCACACCCCUUUAAAGAGCAUUUGAGAUUUUAUAGGUUUGCUGCCAGUAGCCAUUAAAGUGUCUGAAAUGGGGACACUUUUUUCAAACGGUCACAAAAUCUUCUCCACUUCGAGUUUUUAGCUGAAUUUUUUUGUGCAUGCCAACAAAAAUACAAGGAAACCUCUACCAAAUUUGGGGACAAAACUCUUUCUAAAAAAAUUUUAAAAAAUCUCGAACCGUAAAAAGUUUCGAAAAUCAUGAAAAAUAGAAAAUGGGUCAUCUCGCCAUGAAACUUCACAUGAAGUCUGAGCGCCAGCAUGCCCGUUUUGUGGGUUGGCUUAGGAAUAGGGAGUCCAUUCCAUGUCUAAGCCCCAGCCAGACCAAGAGUUGUGGCAGCGGGACCGACAGCAUGCUGAGGGGACCGGGUCGAUCCCUGGCUUGCGCAUUAUGCCUCUUCGGUCGGCUCAGUGCCUGUACGCUCGUUUCAUGGGUUGACUUAUGCAUACGGAGUUCAUUCCUAGUCUAAGAUUGGACAAGACCGAGAGUUGCGAUAGUAGGAUCAAUAGCACGCAGGGGAGGAUCGGGCCAUCCCCGACUUGUGCAUUCUGCCUCUCCGGCCGGCUAAGUGCCCGCAUGCUCGUUUCAUGGGUUGGCUUAGGCAUACGGAGUUCAUUCCAUGUCUAAGCAUAUGGAGUUCAUUCCUAGUCUAAGAUUGGACUGGACCGAAGUUGCGGCAGCAGGAUCGGUAGCACGUAGGGGGGGAUCGGGCCGAUCCCCGGCUUGGGUAUUCUGCCUUUCCGACUGACUGAGUGCCUGCACGCUCGUUUUCUGGGUUAGCUUAGCCAUACGGAGUUCAUUCCAUCUCUAAGCGCUAGCCGGACCGAGGGACAUGGUAGCAGGAUCGGCGGCAUGCAGAGGGGGACCGAGCUGAUCCUCGGCUUACGUAUUAUGCCUCUUCGGUUGGCUGAGUGUCCGCACACUCUUUUCAUGGGUUGACUUAGGCACACGGAGUUCAUCCCCAGUCGAAGCAAAUAGAGUUCAUUCCCAGUCUAAGAUCGGAUCGGAUCGAGGGUUACGGUAGCAGGAUCGAUAGUACACAGAGGGGAUUGGGCCGAUCCCCGACAUGCGCAUUCUACCUCUCCAGCCAGCUGAGUGCCCAUACGCCCAUUUCGUGGGUUGGCUUAGGCAUAAGGAGUUCAUUCCAUGUCCAACCCCCAGCCGGACCAAGGGUUGUGGCAGUGGGAUUAGCAGACUGCAGAGGAGGAUUGGGCCGAACCCUGGCUUGCGCAUUAUGCCUCUUCGGUCGGCUCAGCACCCAUACACUCGUUUCGUGGCUUGACUUAUGCAUACAGAGUUCAUUCCCAGUCUAAGAUCAGACUGAACCAAGGGUUAUGAUAGCAGGAUCGACAGCAAGCAGGGGGGAUCGAGCCGAUUCCCGGCUUGCACAUUUUGCCUCUUCGACCGACUGAGCGCCCGCACGCUUGUUGCGUGGCUUGGCUUAGGCAUAUGAAGUUCAUUCCAUGUCUAAGCAUACAGAGUUCAUUCCCAGUCUAAGAUUUUGAGCCACGGUGCACAUGCUGGGCUAAGGCAUGUGCUGGUGCCGCAUUUUUUUUGCCCGGGGCACCAUCGUCGGAGCAUCGCCGGAGAGCCUAACCGACGGCAUUGGGGGUUCCGACGAUUGGGGGGGUUGGGGGGUGUGCGGACAUGAUGUGUGAUGGGUGCUGGUACUUGACCCUUAUAUUGGCCCCAUAUCCCUCAUCAAACCUUGAGAACUCACACCCCCUUAAAGAGCAUUUGAGAUUUUAUAGGUUUGCUGCCAGUAGCCAUUAAAGUGUCUGAAAUGGGGACACUUUUUUCAAACGGUCACAAAAUCUUCUCCAGUUUGAGUUUUUCGCUGAAUUUUUUUUUGCAUGCUAAAAAAAAUACAAGGAUCAUCUCUACCAAAUUUGGGGACAAAAAUCUUUCUAAAAAAUUUUUAAAAAAUCCCGAACCGCAAAAAGUUUCAAAAAUCAUGAAAAAUAAAAAACGGGUCAUCUUGCCACGAAACUUCACAUGAAGGCUUAGGGGACCAUUGUAUGAAUUUAAAAGCCAUACAAAUGGUAUUGGCAUGGUAGAAAUAUGAAGAUGUGCUUGGACACACCUACCAUCCGUUUGAUCCCCGACUUGUGCAUCUUGCCUCUCUGGUCGACUGAGGACUCGCAUGCUCGUUUCGUGGGUUGACCUAGGCAUACGGAGUUCAUCCCCAGUCUAAGCAUACAGAGUUCAUUCCUAGUCUAAGAUCAAACUGGGAUGAAGGUUGCGAUAGCAGGAUCGACAGCACGUAGGGGGGACUGGGCCAUCCCUGACUUGUACAUUCUGCCUCUCCAAUCGACAAAGCGCCCGCAUGCUCGUUUCGUGGGUUGGCUUAGGCAUACGGAGUUCAUUCCAUGUCUAAGCAUAUGGAGUUCAUUCCCAAUCUAAGAUUUUGAGCCUCGGUGUACAUGCUGGGCUCGGGCAUGUACUGGUGCCGUAUUUUUUUUGCUCGGGGCACCAUCGCCGGAGCAUCACUGGAGAGCCUAACCGACGGCAUUGGGGGUUCCGGAGAUUGGGGUGCCGGGGGGUGUGCACACAUGAUGUGCGAUGGGUGCUGGUACUUGGCCCUUAUAUUGGCCCCCUAUCCCUCAUCAAAUCUUGAGAACUCACACCCCCUUAAAGAGCAUUUGAGAUUUUAUAGCUUUGUUACCAGUAGCCAUUAAAGUGUUUGAAAUGGGGACUCUUUUUUCAAACGGUCACAAAAUCUUCUCCACUUUGACUUUUUAGCUGAAUUUUUUUAUGCAUGCCAACAGAAAUACAAGGAUCAUGAACCGAAAAAAGUUUUGAAAAUUGUGAAAAAUAGAAAACAGGUCAUCUUGCCACGAAACUUCACAUGAAGGCUUAGGGGACCAUUGUAUGAAUUUACAAGCCAUAAAAAUGGCAUUGGGACGGCAGAAAUAUGAAGAUGUGCUUGAACCCACCUACCACACGUUCGAUCUUAGGCUUGCGCAUCCUGUCUCUCUGGUCGACUGAGUGCCCGUACGCUCGUUUCAUGGGUUGACUUAGGCAUACGGAGUUCAUCCUCAGUCUAAGCAUAAGGAGUUCAUUCCCAGUCUAGGAUCGGAUCGGAUCGAUGGUUGCGGUAGCAGGAUCGGUAGCACGCAGGGGGGAUCGAGCCAAUUCCCGGCUUACGCAUUCUGCCUCUCCGAUCAGCUGAGUGCCUGUACGCCCGUUUCAUGGGUUGGCUUAGGCAUAUGGAGUUCAUUCCAUGUCUAAGCAUAUGGAGUUCAUUCCCAGUCUAAGAUUGGACCAGAUCGAGGGUUGCGAUAGUAGGACUAGUAGCAGGAUCGGUAGCAUGCAGGGGGGGAUCAGUCCGAUCCUCGGCUUGUGCAUUCUGCCUCUCCGACUGACUGAGCGCCUGCAAGCUCGUUUCGUGGGUUGGCUUAGCCAGACAGAGUUCAUUCCAUCUCUAAGCCCCAGCCGGACCGAGGGUUGUGGUAGCAGGACCGACAGCACGCAGAGAGGGAUCGGCCUGAUCCCCGGCUUACGUAUUAUGCCUCUCUGAUCGGCUGAAUGCCCGCACGCUCAUUUCGUGGGUUGACUUAGGCCCACAGAGUUCAUCCCCAGUCGAAGCAAACAGAGUUCAUUCCCAGUCUAAGAUCAAAUCAGAUCGAGGGUUAUGGUAGCAGGAUCGAUAGUACGUAGAAGGGAUCGGGCCGAUCCCCGACUUGCGCAUUUUGCCUCUCCAGCCAGCUGCGCCGCAUGCUCUUUCUUGUGGGUCCAUGCUAACCAACCCAACGCGGACCAAGGGUGUUGGCAGUGGGAUGCAGAAUGUAGAAGGGGAUUGGGUCGACCCCUUGCGCAUUAUGCUCUUCGGGCUCAGCGCCCACAACUCAUUUCGUGGCUUGACUUUUGCAUACGGAGUUCGUUCCCAGUCUAAGAUUGGACCAAACCAAGGGUUACAACAGCAGGAUCGACAGCAAGCAGGGGGGAUCAGGCUGAUCACCGGCUUGCGCAUUCUACCUCUUCGGCCGGCUGAGCCCCCGCACGCUUGUUUUGUGGGUUGGCUUAGGCAUACGGAGUUCAUUCCAUGUCUAAGCAUACGUAGUUCAUUCGAUUUUGAGCCACGGUGCACAUGCUUGGCUCCAGCAUGUGCUGGUGCCGCAUUUUUUUCACUCGGGACAGCAUCGCCGGAGCAUCGCCAGAGCAUCGCCGGAGUACCGUCGGAGAACCUGACCGGCGGCAUUGGGGUUCCGGCGAUUGGGAGGGGGGCCGGGGGGGUGUGCGCACAUGAUGUGCGAUGGGUGCUGGUACUUGGCCCUUGUAUUGGCCCCCUAUCCCUCAUCAAACCUCUGAGAACUCACACCCCCUUAAAGAGCAUUUGAGAUUUUACAGGUUUGCUGCCAGUAGCCGUUCAAGUGUCUGAAAUGGGGACACUUUUUUCAAACGGUCACGAAAUCUUCUCCGGUUCGAGUUUUUAGCUGAAUUUUUUUGUGCAUGCCAACAAAAAUAGAAGGAUCACGUCCACAAAAUUUGGGGCCAAAACUCCUUCUAAAAAAAUUCUAAAAAAUCCCGAACCGCAAAAAGUUUCGAAAAUCGUGAAAAAUAGAAAACGAGUCAUCUUCCAACGAAACUUCACGUGAAGGCUUAGGGGACCAUUGUAUGAAUUUACAAGCCAUAAAAAUGGCAUUGGCACGGCAGAAAUUUGAAGAUGUGCCUAAACCCACCUAGCACCCGAUCGAUCCCCGGCUUGCGCAUCCUGCCUCUCCGGCCGGCUGAGCGCCCGCACGCUCGUUCCGUGGGUUGACUUAGCCAUACGGAGUUCAUUCCAUGUCUAAGCCCCAGUCGGACCGAGGGUCGCGGCAGCUGGACCGGCAGCGGGAUUGGCAGCAGCACGCGGGGGGACCGGGCCGAUCCCCGGCUUGCGCAUUAUGCCCCUCCAGUCGACUGAGCGCCCGCACGCUCGUUUCGUGGGUUGACUUAGGCAUACGGAGUUCAUUCCCGAUCUAAGCAUACGGAGCUCAUUCUCGGUCUAAGAUCGGACCGACAGCGGGAUUGGCAGCAGCACGCGGGGGGGACCGGAUCGGUCUCCGGCUUGCGCAUUAUGCCCCUCCGGCCGGCUGAGCGCCCGCACGCUCGUUCCGUUGGUUGACUUAGGCACACGGAGUUCAUUCCAUGUCUAAG